Long non-coding RNA from Alosa sapidissima (American shad), 618 nucleotides. RefSeq lists it as uncharacterized. The transcript has 2 exons. NCBI's taxonomy places the organism in Eukaryota, Metazoa, Chordata, Actinopteri, Clupeiformes, Clupeidae. The record is from RefSeq and is a predicted model, not a curated record.
GGCAGAGUGAUCAGUGCAUGCCCUGACGAGAAAGGAGUCGUGAGAGACGUCAAAGUCAGGACGUUUCCCAGCUAUCCAGUCAUGAUCAAGAAGCCAUCCCAUGAAGAACAUAGUAGGAGUACUCCAGCAGCAAAGAACAACAAGAUCCCUGCUACAGUCCUACACAGAGACGUCAGACGUCUUGUUGUGUUGAUUCCUGUGGAGGAGCAAUGAAGAGAAGAUCCGGCACGCUCCAGAGAAACAGGACGUGACCUCCUUGGGUUCUGGAACCAGGAGCUCAAGUGGGAGGUGUGCUGUUGGAUCGCAAGUGGAAAGGGACUUUUGUUUUGAGUGAAAAAAAAAAAAAAAGAGACUUUUAUUUUGAAAAGGGAAGUGGAGACUUUACAGUUCUCAUGCCAGAAAGCAGGAAGUGCAGAGCUAUCUUCAAGCACAUGUAGUAAGAAGCUGUGAAGUUUAGCUGAGAAGCACAUGGUGAAUUAUUAUUGAAGAUAAAGGGUGAAGUGGGGAAAUACUUUACUUGCUGGGCAUUUCCAGGGAUGCUACUGGUUUUCAACCUGACGCAAUCUGACAUAGCCUGAUGUAAACUGAUUUAAUCUGAGUUAAACUUCUGAUUAUUUG